RNAcentral lists this ribosomal RNA (505 nucleotides) under uncultured bacterium. RNAcentral's name for it is "partial 16S ribosomal RNA". It matches the Rfam family "Bacterial small subunit ribosomal RNA", at positions 28 to 507 of the family's 1533-position model. The record is from RNAcentral.
GACGAACGCUGGCGGCGUGCCUAAUACAUGCAAGUAGAACGCACAGUUUAUACCGUAGCUUGCUACACCAUAGACUGUGAGUUGCGAACGGGUGAGUAACGCGUAGGUAACCUGCCUGGUAGCGGGGGAUAACUAUUGGAAACGAUAGCUAAUACCGCAUAAUAUUGAUUAUUGCAUGAUAAUUGAUUGAAAGAUGCUAUUGCAUCACUACCAGAUGGACCCGCGUUGUAUUAGCUAGUAGGUGAGGUAACGGCUCACCUAGGCGACGAUACAUAGCCGACCUGAGAGGGUGAUCGGCCACACUGGGACUGAGACACGGCCCAGACUCCUACGGGAGGCAGCAGUAGGGAAUCUUCGGCAAUAGACGAAAGUCUGACCGAGCAACGCCGCGUGAGUGAAGAAGGUUUUCGGAUCGUAAAGCUCUGUUGUAAGAGAAGAACGGGUGUGAGAGUGGAAAGUUCACACUGUGACGGUAUCUUACCAGAAAGGGACGGCUAACUACGUG